This 77-nucleotide transfer RNA is filed under the name Pasteurella multocida subsp. multocida. Its description in RNAcentral is "tRNA-Val". The stretch from base 4 to 72 matches the Rfam family "tRNA". From Rfam's summary of the family: Transfer RNA (tRNA) molecules are approximately 80 nucleotides in length. Their secondary structure includes four short double-helical elements and three loops (D, anti-codon, and T loops). The record is from RNAcentral. Lineage: Bacteria; Pseudomonadati; Pseudomonadota; Gammaproteobacteria; Pasteurellales; Pasteurellaceae.
GGCGAUUAGCUCAGUUGGGAGAGCACCUCCCUUACAAGGAGGGGGUCACUGGUCUAAGAUAAUCAGUAAUCACCCCA